Molecule: long non-coding RNA, 239 nt
Filed under: Panax ginseng (ginseng)
Lineage: Eukaryota; Viridiplantae; Streptophyta; Magnoliopsida; Apiales; Araliaceae
Description: long non-coding RNA (PGIN_LNC000974)
Source: RNAcentral
CCUCGGACAUACUUACUCAAGUAGCCAAGGCCCAGAAAUAAGACUAGCCAUGUUAUUUCUACUUUUCUUUCUUUUUCUUUCUAUUUUUUUCUCUUUUUUUUUUUCAUAAUUUCUCUUUUUUUUUCUUUUUGUAUAUAUAUACCCCAUAGAUUCCCCCAAACUCAAGCUUUUAUGUCAUUCCAACCUUUACCGCCAGUUCACUAAUUUCCUUAAAUUUUAACAAAGAUUUUCCCUCAGAA